Molecule: long non-coding RNA, 1836 nt
Organism: Quercus robur (English oak)
Lineage: Eukaryota; Viridiplantae; Streptophyta; Magnoliopsida; Fagales; Fagaceae
Exons: 2
Source: RefSeq, a predicted model, not a curated record
ACACUUCAUUUUCUUCUUUGACUUUCUCAAAGAAAUAAGACUCAAGAAACUCUUUUGCUCCCAUUUCCCACGGAUCCAUGCAAAUCAGAAAUUUGCACCUCACUUUACACUCUUUUCUCUUAAGGAAAGUGCUAGGAAGCUCCCCAAAAGUCUUCCCCUUAUCUCAUUUUCUUGGCUGCACCAGACAGAAAGUCCAGCAGCAAGAAGGAAGCUUCUUUCAACUCUCUCAAGCUCUCUACCUCUCAUACCUUCUGGUCUAGCACUAGGAAAGGAAAAUCCUUUCAUGUGUUACCAAUAUCCAAGUCUAAGCUCCUUCGACUUUAGGCUCUCGAUUCCUCUGCUUUCAAGUAAGGGAUAAGUUAUAUGGAUAUUUGGUAAGUCAUGAGAUUAUUUUAAAGUAUAUUAUGCAUUAAAAUGUUUUGAUUAGAGAUAUGGCAUAUAAUCAUUAUUCUGACAAGAUAUGUUCGUGAGUUCUCGAAACCCUAUGUAUAUGAUUUAAGUAUAUUGAUGCCAUUACUAAUUUCCACGAACAUGAUGUUUAAUGAAAAGAAUGGAAAUGCUAUUAUUAUGAGAUGUUAUGCAAAAUAAGAAAUUUCAGUAAAAUGUAAAGUAUGAAAUGUUUUCGGGUUAUGUCCUUUGGUGAUCUGAACUCUGCCAGUAGGGGUUAAUUACUGGUUUUCCAUGGAAAAUGUUAUAUGAUUGGCUAUUAAGUGGGACUGGCUCUGCUGUACCCGCCCCUUGUUGGUUACGACCAACUUGUGGGGGAAGCCAACCUACCCCCAUGAUUGAAAGAUAUGUAUUAUGCUGUAAUCCCGGGAAUACCUGGCAUUGUGGGGAAUGCUGGAUGCCUAACACCGUGGUGCUAGAAGCCUCCCAAAUAAGUACAGACUUAUCAGAUAUGGACUAACCAAUAAGUUAUUUAUGAACAGCUAUGUUAUGUUAUUAAUCAUGAGAGAAUUAUUUUGUUAAAAUGCAUUAUGAAAAGCAAAAGCUCUCAUGGCAAGAAGAAGUUUCUGAUGAAAAGAAAAGCUGUUCAUCAAAGAUAAAAGUUUCUAAAGUUCUGUUGUGCUAUAAAGAUAAAGCUUCUGAAGAAAGUACAAGUUAUGUUUAAAAGUUAUCAGAUACCUGUUCUGUAUGAAAUGUUAAGUUUUAUGACUAUAAGAGUUAUAAUAUUUUUCGGGAAAAUGUUUAUAAAGAAAUAUUUUCUUAUUGGGUCAAGAUGUUUCUAUUUUAAUACAAAGUUGUCAAUUAUUUGAUUUAAGUUAAAAUAAUUAUUUUGUAAUGAGAAUAUAUAUGUGGCGACUUUGUAGGAAAUGAAAGAAGUUUAAUCCGAAAGGUUUUGGUAAUAUUAAACCGAUGAGAAAAAGGAGAACAAUUAUUUUCUAUGAAAAGCGUAUAAGCUAUUAUUAUGAAUAGUAUAAAAUACUAUGCAUGAAAAGAUGUUCUCCUAUUUGAAUAUUCAUAGAAUGAAAUGAUCUGAUUUGCAUGCAUCCUUAUUGAAUUCUUAUAUAUCUUACCUUUACUGAGCUGUGUAGCUCACCCCUUCCACUCUUUCAGUUAGCAGGUUUUAUUUUGGAGCAGAGAAAGCCUUAGUCAAGUUUUGGAAGGAGCUGGUUUUAGUUUUAUAUGUAUAGAUCCUAAAUUAGCAAUUUGAUGUUUAGCUUUAUAGUACUGUGUAUUUUAGGAUCUAAUGAAAGUGUGUACCUUAAAGUAUUAAGAGAUGUAUUAUGUGAAAUUCAGAAUUUGAGUAACUGGUGAAUUAUGUUAUCCUUUGGAGUACAAUGUAGAUGCUCUGAAUGUUAAGUGAAAGGUCAUAUAAUUUAAGUAAAGAAACAA